RNAcentral lists this ribosomal RNA (1522 nucleotides) under metagenome. RNAcentral's name for it is "bacterial SSU rRNA". It matches the Rfam family "Bacterial small subunit ribosomal RNA". The record is from RNAcentral.
AGAGUUUGAUCAUGGCUCAGAUUGAACGCUGGCGGCAGGCCUAACACAUGCAAGUCGAACGGUAACAGGAAACAGCUUGCUGUUUCGCUGACGAGUGGCGGACGGGUGAGUAAUGUCUGGGAAACUGCCUGAUGGAGGGGGAUAACUACUGGAAACGGUAGCUAAUACCGCAUAACGUCGCAAGACCAAAGAGGGGGACCUUCGGGCCUCUUGCCAUCAGAUGUGCCCAGAUGGGAUUAGCUAGUAGGUGGGGUAACGGCUCACCUAGGCGACGAUCCCUAGCUGGUCUGAGAGGAUGACCAGCCACACUGGAACUGAGACACGGUCCAGACUCCUACGGGAGGCAGCAGUGGGGAAUAUUGCACAAUGGGCGCAAGCCUGAUGCAGCCAUGCCGCGUGUAUGAAGAAGGCCUUCGGGUUGUAAAGUACUUUCAGCGGGGAGGAAGGGAGUAAAGUUAAUACCUUUGCUCAUUGACGUUACCCGCAGAAGAAGCACCGGCUAACUCCGUGCCAGCAGCCGCGGUAAUACGGAGGGUGCAAGCGUUAAUCGGAAUUACUGGGCGUAAAGCGCACGCAGGCGGUUUGUUAAGUCAGAUGUGAAAUCCCCGGGCUCAACCUGGGAACUGCAUCUGAUACUGGCAAGCUUGAGUCUCGUAGAGGGGGGUAGAAUUCCAGGUGUAGCGGUGAAAUGCGUAGAGAUCUGGAGGAAUACCGGUGGCGAAGGCGGCCCCCUGGACGAAGACUGACGCUCAGGUGCGAAAGCGUGGGGAGCAAACAGGAUUAGAUACCCUGGUAGUCCACGCCGUAAACGAUGUCGACUUGGAGGUUGUGCCCUUGAGGCGUGGCUUCCGGAGCUAACGCGUUAAGUCGACCGCCUGGGGAGUACGGCCGCAAGGUUAAAACUCAAAUGAAUUGACGGGGGCCCGCACAAGCGGUGGAGCAUGUGGUUUAAUUCGAUGCAACGCGAAGAACCUUACCUGGUCUUGACAUCCACGGAAGUUUUCAGAGAUGAGAAUGUGCCUUCGGGAACCGUGAGACAGGUGCUGCAUGGCUGUCGUCAGCUCGUGUUGUGAAAUGUUGGGUUAAGUCCCGCAACGAGCGCAACCCUUAUCCUUUGUUGCCAGCGGUCCGGCCGGGAACUCAAAGGAGACUGCCAGUGAUAAACUGGAGGAAGGUGGGGAUGACGUCAAGUCAUCAUGCCCCUUACGACCAGGGCUACACACGUGCUACAAUGGCGCAUACAAAGAGAAGCGACCUCGCGAGAGCAAGCGGACCUCAUAAAGUGCGUCGUAGUCCGGAUUGGAGUCUGCAACUCGACUCCAUGAAGUCGGAAUCGCUUGUAAUCGUGGAUCAGAAUGCCACGGUGAAUACGUUCCCGGGCCUUGUACACACCGCCCGUCACACCAUGGGAGUGGGUUGCAAAAGAAGUAGGUAGCUUAACCUUCGGGAGGGCGCUUACCACUUUGUGAUUCAUGACUGGGGUGAAGUCGAAACAAGGUAACCGUAGGGGAACCUGCGGUUG